Molecule: long non-coding RNA, 2548 nt
Filed under: Carassius auratus (goldfish)
Lineage: Eukaryota; Metazoa; Chordata; Actinopteri; Cypriniformes; Cyprinidae
Description: lncRNA (ENSCARG00000055605.1)
Source: RNAcentral
UCUGUCAGAGGUCCCACUCGUCAAUGAGAUUCAAGGAAGAGACAUGGCGAACUUCUUCAUUCUGCCCUUCCUGAGAAGAAACGCAACAGAUGCGGGCUGUGUGUCGACUGCUAACAACAGUGUUGAGUGGCUGCAGAAGAACUUUGGCCCGUUCUCUCAGUUCGUGUCUCUCACAGAUCUGAUCUCCAUCAACAGACUCUUUGAUCCUGUAUGUCUCCACAUCUACACCUGUGAUUUCAUCAAAGACGAUUUAUAAAAAUAACACCACCAUCACUUUUUCCUUAACUGAUAUUUGCUUAUCCUUCCGUGUGUGUUUAGUUGGAGACCCUGGACAAUCUCACUCCCAAGCAGGUGGCUGGACUGUUGGUUGAAGAGCUACCUGGUCUCCCAGAGAAGAAAGUCGUCAUCAAUACAGUGUUUGAUCAUCUGUUUGUGUCUCCUGUGGAGCGAGGACUUCCUGAUGUUCUUCAAAACCUGCUCUCAAUCUCACAGACGGUAAAAUUUGCACAGUUGUUCUCAGUGGCUCUCCAUCAAACACUACUCUGAUGCCUACUGGUUUAGUCUUUAUGUGUGGUUUGUCUUAAAUGAAAUUUGAAGUAAAUCUGCAAUGUUCAAAUAAGUGAGUUUGAUGAAUCCUAUGCGUGACAACAGCAUUGAUGCUUGUUUGUGUUUCUGCAGACCAUUAUUCCGUGCAGCUCCUACAUACUGAUGUAAGUGUACUUGGUACAUGAUAUUGAGUCUCUGGCCUCUUUGCACUGAGAUCUGCUGUAAUUCUGUGGUUCUUUCUCAGAUUCCAGAGGCUGUUUCAGGCGUUACCUUUCCUGCCGACGGAGAUGGAGACUGUGGUCUUCCAAACAACUGGAGAACUCAAGCAGAAUGGAGCAAGAGGUCAUUCUUGAUCUUCCUCAGUUCUUGCUGUUGAGUCUUCUAGAAGAUCAGCAUGUUUCUAAUUACUUCAUAUGGAAUUAAUUAAUGAAUGUUUGUCUUACUUUCAGACUGUUCACUUCCUGAACCGCCAACAGUACCUGAACCUCCAACAUGUCUGUUCACUCCUGUGAAUGCUACCAGAGUUUGUUCAGGAGUCAACAGUAACGAGACUCUCCUAUCCGCUGCAUCCGUGAGCGCCCCCUGUAGUGUGGACCUGCAGCAAUACAUUUGCUCUUCGCUCACCGGCAUCACUGCUGGAAACCUGGCUGAACUCCUGAAGUGUCAACUUUCAAGCAGCAGAACUUACUCCAAGGAGAUCUGGAAACUAUUUUUCACCAAAGCAAAUGAUGUUCUGGACGGAGCCCUCGUCAUAUUCUCCAGCGCAGCAGCAAAUAUGUCUCAGCCAAUCAGAGGUGAUGUCGUGUCCCAAGUGCUGGAUGUGGUUGGAGAGCUGAGACUGGAGCGCAUCAGUCCUGACCAAUGGACAGACCUCUCUUUCAUCAGCAUGUUGUUGGGUCAAUAUCUGAAGCCGUUUUUACCAUUUGCGUCACCAUCCCUACUGCUGUGCACCAGCAGCAAAAACCUCAGCUGCCAAACUUACCAGCACAUUCUGUCAGAGGUCCCACUCGUCAAUGAGAUUCAAGGAAGAGACAUGGCAAACUUCUUCAUUCUGCCCUUCCUGAGAAGAAACGCAACAGAUGCGGGCUGUGUGGCGACUGCUAACAACAGUGUUGAGUGGCUGCAGAAGAACUUUGGCCCGUUCUCUCAGUUCGUGUCUCUCACAGAUCUGAUCUCCAUCAACAGACUCUUUGAUCCCCUCGAGACCCUGUCUAAUCUCACUCCAGAGCAGAUGGUUGGACUGAUUGUUAAUACUCAGCCUGGUGUGCCACAGAAUUUCAUCAUUAAUACUGUUUUUGAUCAUCUGCUCGUGUCUCCUGUGCAACGAGGAUUUCCAGAUGUUCUUGAGCUCCUUUAUAUUUUCUCCACAAGGAAUCCACUCAGCUGUCAAACCAACCAGAUAAUCUUCACGAGGCUGGAGCAGAUCUUGAGCUCAGGAGCGGGUGAUCUGGAGCCUGUCAUCUGGAAGAGCCUUUAUAACUUCAGCAGCACGGCUCCUGCAGACUGCACUCUUCUUCCAGUCGUGAAUGAGUGUCCCGUGACUCCAUUCAACGAGACUCGGGUGUGCAGCGGAGUGGACAGUUCUGCAGCACAGCAGUGCUUGAACGAAGGACGGAUUUGUGGCUUCAGUAUUGCAGCACAUGCAUGUGCCCCGGUGCUGGAUGUGAACAUGGACUAUCUGGUCACACUACUGAACGCUCAUCUGUCUGUGGAUGACAUGAGCUCAGCUGAGAGCUGGAAACUCUUCCUGACCAGAGUCUCAAACCUGCUGGACGUCGCCCUCCUCCAGCUCUCCAACCAGUCGGUGUGGUGGAGCAGCAGCUCUGCCUCUGUGGCUCUGGACGUCCUGCGGGAGCUGCGUCUGGACAGACUGACGGAUGAGAGCGCUGUAGUGCUGUGGCUCGAUGAACACCUGCGAGCGUUCCUGCCCAGUGCGUCUGGGACGUUCCUGCAGUGUCUGCGCAGCCAGAACCUCAGCUGCCAGAGCUUCCAGACAGUGUAA